Molecule: RNA transcript, 421 nt
Organism: Haliotis rubra (blacklip abalone)
Lineage: Eukaryota; Metazoa; Mollusca; Gastropoda; Lepetellida; Haliotidae
Exons: 5
Source: RefSeq, a predicted model, not a curated record
CGCAAACAUGUUUCAGACUGCAUGUUAACUGGCAGUGACACGUGACACUACUUCAGGUAUCUCCCGCAAACACAAACCUGUGUCAGGCUACAUGUUACCUGGCAGUGACACCUGGCACUACUUCAAGUAUCUCCCACAGACACAAACCUGUGUCAGGCUGCAUGUUACCUGGCAGUGGCACCUGGCACUACUUCAGGUAUCUCCCACAGACACAAACCUGUGUCAGACUGCAUGUUACCUGGCAGUGACACAUGACACUACUUCAGGUAUCUCCCACAAACACAAACCUGUGUCAGGCUGUAUGUUACGUGGCAGUGACACAUGGCACUACUUCAGAUAUCUCCCACAGACACAAACCUGUGUCAGGCUGUAUGUUACGUGGCAGUGACACCUGGCACUACUUCAGAUAUCUCCCACAGAC